Molecule: ribosomal RNA, 537 nt
Filed under: Triticum aestivum (bread wheat)
Lineage: Eukaryota; Viridiplantae; Streptophyta; Magnoliopsida; Poales; Poaceae
Description: partial small subunit ribosomal RNA
Source: RNAcentral
AUGCCAGUGAUGCAUUGCAGGAGCAGAAAGGAGCAGCGAGCAGCGGCGGCGGCUGACCUCGAGCUCUCGGUUGGAGUGGAGGGAGGCGGCCGGCGAGGGAUAUGCGGCCAGCGGGGAAGGAUUCGGAGCUGCGGCGGAGCAGGCAACCGGUGGGGAAAGGCGGCCGCCGGUGAGGGAGCUCCGGACCGCGGCGAGGGAGCUUUGGAUCGCGGCGGGGAAGGGCGACCAGAGGGGAUCGGGCUCUCGAUUGGAGCGGCGCAGGCAACUGGCGGGGAAGGGCGCCGGAGAUGUGGACGACGGAGGAGCCUGGCGGAGGGGAGGAGCGAUGGAGGAAGACGACGGAGUCCUGGCGGAGGGAAGGAGCGAAGGAGGAAGACGACAGCCCGUGCGAUUUCAAAUCGGUGGGUGGGGGAGGGGCAGUUUGGUAAUUUCACUCAUUUUCACUUGGUCGGAAAACCUCCUCCAACGACAAUUAUUUCGGAACGGAGGGAGUAUGUUAUUGAUGUGUACUUUACUAGUGUUCGUAGUAACCCUUAG